UACGGAAGGUCCGGGCGUUAUCCGGAUUCAUUGGGUUUAAAGGGAGCGCAGGCCGAUGGUUAAGCGUGAAGUGAAAUGUAGCCGCUCAACGGCUGAACUGCGUCGCGAACUGGCUAUCUUGAGUGAGUUCGAUGCUGGCGGAAUUUGUGGUGUAGCGGUGAAAUGCUUAGAUAUCACGGAGAACUCCGAUUGCGAAGGCAGCCAACAAGGCCUUUACUGACGCUAAAGCUCGAAGGUGCGGGUAUCGAAC
This 250-nucleotide ribosomal RNA is filed under the name uncultured prokaryote. Its description in RNAcentral is "partial 16S ribosomal RNA". It matches the Rfam family "Bacterial small subunit ribosomal RNA", at positions 524 to 773 of the family's 1533-position model. The record is from RNAcentral.